ACGGGUGAGUAACGCGUGGGAAUCUACCUGAUACUACGGAACAACACAGGGAAACUUGUGCUAAUACCGUAUACGCCCUACGGGGGAAAGAUUUAUCGGUAUCAGAUGAGCCCGCGUAAGAUUAGCUAGUUGGUGGGGUAAUGGCCUACCAAGGCGACGAUCUUUAGCUGGUCUGAGAGGAUGAUCAGCCACACUGGGACUGAGACACGGCCCAGACUCCUACGGGAGGCAGCAGUGGGGAAUAUUGGACAAUGGGCGAAAGCCUGAUCCAGCCAUGCCGCGUGAGUGAUGAAGGCCUUAGGGUUGUAAAGCUCUUUCAGUAGGGAAGAUAAUGACGGUACCUACAGAAGAAGCCCCGGCUAACUUCGUGCCAGCAGCCGCGGUAAUACGAAGGGGGCUAGCGUUGUUCGGAUUUACUGGGCGUAAAGCGCACGUAGGCGGAUUGUUAAGUCAGGGGUGAAAUCCUGGAGCUCAACUCCAGAACUGCCUUUGAUACUGGCAAUCUAGAGUCCGGAAGAGGUGAGUGGAACUCCUAGUGUAGAGGUGGAAUUCGUAGA
This 557-nucleotide ribosomal RNA is filed under the name Rhizobiales bacterium BvORR009. RNAcentral's name for it is "bacterial SSU rRNA". It matches the Rfam family "Bacterial small subunit ribosomal RNA", at positions 102 to 694 of the family's 1533-position model. The record is from RNAcentral. Lineage: Bacteria; Pseudomonadati; Pseudomonadota; Alphaproteobacteria; Hyphomicrobiales.